AUUAUUACAAAACUUUUAAAAUAUAACUGAACUAGUCCACCCAUACACACUAAAAAACUAUGACACUAUUUUGCUAACUUGGCUAACUUGGCUUCAUGUUUCAUCUUGAGCCAUGCUAAUCUUUCUUCUACAUUAUCUAAGGUCAUGAACAUCUCUCUCCAAUUUCUUUGUGAAAAUCUCAGUAGCAAUGAAAUGCUCAUUGGUACCAAAAA
Molecule: long non-coding RNA, 212 nt
Filed under: Oryza brachyantha (malo sina)
Lineage: Eukaryota; Viridiplantae; Streptophyta; Magnoliopsida; Poales; Poaceae
Description: long non-coding RNA (OBRA_LNC002584)
Source: RNAcentral